Molecule: ribosomal RNA, 408 nt
Filed under: uncultured prokaryote
Description: bacterial SSU rRNA
Rfam family: Bacterial small subunit ribosomal RNA
Source: RNAcentral
UAACGAAUAUUGGGCAAUGGGCGAAAGCCUGACCCAGCGAUGCCGCGUAUAGGAUGAAGUUCUUCGGAAUGUAAACUAUUGUCAGGGGCUAGAAAGCCGUAAGGUUGAUCAGCCCCAGAGGAAGUCACGACUAACUUCGUGCCAGCAGUCGCGGUAAUACGAAGGUGACAAGCGUUAUUCGAAAUCACUGGGCUUAAAGGGUGCGCAGGCGGAAAUGUAAGUGUCUUGUGAAAUACCUUGGCUUAACCAAGGCAUUGCUCGGCAUACUGCAUUUCUUGAGGCAAGUAAGGGUGUGUGGAACUCUUGGUGGAGCGGUGGAAUGCGUAGAUAUCAAGAGGAACGCCGAAGGUGAAGACAGCACACUGGACUUGUCCUGACGCUCAUGCACGAAAGCGUGGGGAGCAAACA